UACGGGGGGGGGCAAGCGUUGUUCGGAAUUACUGGGCGUAAAGGGCUCGUAGGUGGCCAACUAAGUCAGACGUGAAAUCCCUCGGCUUAACCGGGGAACUGCGUCUGAUACUGGAUGGCUAGAGAUUGGGAGAGGGAUGCGGAAUUCCAGGUGUAGCGGUGAAAUGCGUAGAUAUCUGGAGGAACACCGGUGGCGAAGGCGGCAUCCUGGACCAACACUGACGCUGAGGAGCGAAAGCAUGGGGAGCGAACAGG
This 254-nucleotide ribosomal RNA is filed under the name uncultured bacterium. Its description in RNAcentral is "partial 16S ribosomal RNA". It matches the Rfam family "Bacterial small subunit ribosomal RNA", at positions 524 to 776 of the family's 1533-position model. The record is from RNAcentral.